AUUGCUAUUGGGAUCCGAUUUAGCCAUGCUAGUUGCACGAGUUCAGACUCGUGGCAGAUAGCUCAGUAACACGUGGCCAAUCUACCCUUCGGAGAGCGAUAACCUCGGGAAACUGAGGCUAAUAGCUCAUACCACAUCCACGCUUGAAUGCCGGAUGUGCCAAACGCUCCGGCGCCGAAGGAUGAGGCUGCGGCCGAUUAGGUAGACGGUGGGGUAACGGCCCACCGUGCCGAUAAUCGGUACGGGUCAUGAGAGUGAGAACCCGGAGACGGAAUCUGAGACAAGAUUCCGGGCCCUACGGGGCGCAGCAGGCGCGAAACCUUUACACUGCACGCCAGUGCGAUAAGGGGAUCCCAAGUGCGCAGGCAUAGAGCCUGCGCUUUUCUGAACCGUAGGAACGUUCAGGAACAAGGGCUGGGCAAGACCGGUGCCAGCCGCCGCGGUAAUACCGGCAGCCCAAGUGAUGGCCGAUUUUAUUGGGCCUAAAGCGUCCGUAGCUGGCCACGCAAGUCUAUCGGGAAAUCUACCCGCUCAACGGGUAGACGCCCGGUGGAAACUGCGUGGCUUGGGACCGGAAGGCGCGAAGGGUACGUCCGGGGUAGGAGUGAAAUCCUGUAAUCCUGGACGGACCGCCGAUGGCGAAAGCACUUCGCGAGAACGGAUCCGACAGUGAGGGACGAAAGCUAGGGUCUCGAACCGGAUUAGAUACCCGGGUAGUCCUAGCCGUAAACGAUGCCUGUUAGGUGUGGCUCCCACUACGAGUGGGUGCUGUGCCGUAGGGAAGCCGCUAAACAGGCCGCCUGGGAAGUACGUCCGCAA
This 819-nucleotide ribosomal RNA is filed under the name Halorubrum sp. RNAcentral describes it as "bacterial SSU rRNA". It matches the Rfam family "Archaeal small subunit ribosomal RNA", at positions 26 to 846 of the family's 1478-position model. The record is from RNAcentral. Lineage: Archaea; Methanobacteriati; Methanobacteriota; Halobacteria; Halobacteriales; Haloferacaceae.